RNAcentral lists this ribosomal RNA (505 nucleotides) under uncultured bacterium. RNAcentral describes it as "partial 16S ribosomal RNA". It matches the Rfam family "Bacterial small subunit ribosomal RNA", at positions 28 to 507 of the family's 1533-position model. The record is from RNAcentral.
GACGAACGCUGGCGGCGUGCCUAAUACAUGCAAGUAGAACGCACAGUUUAUACCGUAGCUUGCUACACCAUAGACUGUGAGUUGCGAACGGGUGAGUAACGCGUAGGUAACCUGCCUGGCAGCGGGGGAUAACUAUUGGAAACGAUAGCUAAUACCGCAUAAUAUUGAUUAUUGCAUGAUAAUUAAUUGAAAGGUGCAAUUGCACCACUACCAGAUGGACCUGCGUUGUAUUAGCUAGUAGGUGAGGUAACGGCUCACCUAGGCGACGAUACAUAGCCGACCUGAGAGGGUGAUCGGCCACACUGGGACUGAGACACGGCCCAGACUCCUACGGGAGGCAGCAGUAGGGAAUCUUCGGCAAUGGACGAAAGUCUGACCGAGCAACGCCGCGUGAGUGAAGAAGGUUUUCGGAUCGUAAAGCUCUGUUGUAAGAGAAGAACGGGUGUGAGAGUGGAAAGUUCACACUGUGACGGUAUCUUACCAGAAAGGGACGGCUAACUACGUG